CGGACGUGACUGCUAUUGGAGUAGGACUAAGUCACGCUAGUCAAAGGUGCGGAAUAGAAGCAUCUGGCGUACGGCUCAGUAACACGUAGUCAACCUACUCUAAGGACGAGGACAAGCACGGGAAACUGUGGCUAAUACUCGAUAAGAAAUUUGGCCUGGAACGGUAUCUUUCACAAAACCGGCUCGCCGUGAGACACGGGCCUUAGGAUGGGGCUGCGGCUGAUUAUGCUAGAUGGCGGUGUAAAGGACCACCAUGGCUACGAUCAGUAUGGGCGAUGGAAGUAGGAGCCCAGAGUCGGCUACUGAGACAAGGAGCCGAGCUUUACGAAGCUUAGCGGUCGCGAAAACUCGCCAAUGCACGAAAGUGUGAGUGGGCUACUCCAAGUGUCAUUCUUACGGAUGACUGUCGCUCAGUCUUACCAGCUGAGAAAGGAAGGAGAGGGCAAGGCUGGUGCCAGCCGCCGCGGUAAAACCAGCUCUUCGAGUGGUCAGGACGAAUAUUGGGUCUAAAGCGCUCGUAGCCGGACAAGUAGGUUCUUGGUUAAACCCGACAGCAUAACUGUUGGUCUGCUGGGAAUACCGCUAGUCUUGGGAGCGGGAGAGGACAGAGGUAGUCAUAGGGCAGGGGUGAAAUCCAGUGAUCCUAUGGCGACCACCGAUGGCGAAGGCAUCUGUCUGGAACGUAUCCGACGGUGAGGGGCGAAAGCUAGGGGAGCGACCCGGAUUAGAUACCCGGUUAGUCCUAGCCGUAAACGAUGCGGACUAGGUGUUACAGCGGCCAAGAGCCACUGUAGUGCCACAGCGAAGGCGUUAAGUCCGCCACCUGGGGAGUACGGAUGCAAGUCUGAAACUUAAAGGAAUUAACGAGGGCGCAC
Molecule: ribosomal RNA, 875 nt
Filed under: uncultured archaeon
Lineage: Archaea
Description: bacterial SSU rRNA
Rfam family: Archaeal small subunit ribosomal RNA
Source: RNAcentral